AGAGUUUGAUCCUGGCUCAGAAUGAACGCUGGCGGCGUGCAUAACACAUGCAAGUCGAACGAGAAAACCCCGGGGCUUGCUCGGGGGAGUAAAGUGGCGCACGGGUGAGUAGCGCGUGGGUAACCUACCCCUGAAUCUGGAAUAACUCGCCGAAAGGCGGACUAAUACCGGAUAUUGUCUUGGAGGCGCAUGUCUCUGAGAUGAAAGGUGACCUCUUCAUGAAAGUUGCCGUUCGGGGAGGGGCUCGCGUACCAUUAGCUUGUUGGUAGGGUAAUGGCCUACCAAGGCGACGAUGGUUAGCUGGUCUGAGAGGAUGAUCAGCCACACUGGAACUGGAACACGGUCCAGACUCCUACGGGAGGCAGCAGUGAGGAAUUUUGCGCAAUAGGGGAAACCCUGACGCAGCAACGCCGCGUGAGUGAAGAAGGCCUUCGGGUCGUAAAGCUCUGUCAGGUGGGAAAAACGCAGUCGGUGAAUAGCCGGGCUGAAUUGAUGGUACCACUAGAGGAAGCACCGGCUAACUCCGUGCCAGCCGCCGCGGUAAUA
RNAcentral lists this ribosomal RNA (546 nucleotides) under bacterium enrichment culture clone Cont95_3130. RNAcentral's name for it is "bacterial SSU rRNA". It matches the Rfam family "Bacterial small subunit ribosomal RNA", at positions 8 to 525 of the family's 1533-position model. The record is from RNAcentral.